Molecule: long non-coding RNA, 171 nt
Filed under: Neodiprion lecontei (redheaded pine sawfly)
Lineage: Eukaryota; Metazoa; Arthropoda; Insecta; Hymenoptera; Diprionidae
Description: uncharacterized LOC124293053
Source: RNAcentral
GGCACUCUCUUUCCCUCCACCACGCUCUACCGAAAAUAAAUUUUCGCCGACUAUCACUCCAGUGGUAUCUCUUUUUGCACAACCUGUAUGCACGCAUUGAUAUAGUCCUUAUCGGACAUAUCCUUGGUUUUGGCUGGGGGUACUUUUCCCCGUCGGCGCAACUCUUGCUUG